Meleagris gallopavo (turkey) is the source of this 3190-nucleotide non-coding RNA. NCBI's taxonomy places the organism in Eukaryota, Metazoa, Chordata, Aves, Galliformes, Phasianidae. The record is from RefSeq and is a predicted model, not a curated record.
AGCCCAUGACACUGUGGCCACCAGCAGUGCCAAGAACAGCCCCCAGCACCUCUCCCCACAGCUUUGCAUUGCCAUCUGAGGCCCCAAAAUGAAAUCAGCUGCACCCCAGGAGGCUGGAGACCCCAGGGACAAGCCCUGCCUGCUGUGCACCAUGGAGCAGAAAAACCGCGUCUGGAAAACACUGAAAUCACUGACACUGCUUCGGCUGCUGAAGAGCACAAACCGCAGGGUGCAGCGGCUGCACGCAGUUGCUGUGCACUGCUGGCGCUCGCUCACAGCACAGGGGCUGCCCGGUGUCACGUCACUGCUCCCCAGGGAAUGUCACCACCUGCCAGAGCUGGAGGAGGCUGUGGACAACGCUGAGACCAGCUCGACCAGCAGCACCACGGAUGCACCAAUGGAACCAGAGACGAGCCCACCACCAGCAGCUGCGGAAGCCAAGCAGGACUUACUGGGGACCCUUCCCCAGCGCUUCCACAUGCCGGCCCCCAAAGUGCUGUGCCGGCCUUCAGCCCAGCGCUGGGUCAAGCCCUGCUGCACCCGAUCCUGUGGAGAGAGCCUGGAGCGCACGCUCACCAUCCGCUACCCCCGGUGACCACCACCGGUAUGAGCACUGCCCUCGCUGAGCGAGGCCAUCCCCCUGAGCUCCAGCACAGCUCGUCAGCUGCUGGCUUUGCUUUCAGGGCUGCCUGAGGAGUUGGAGAAGAGCUGCCAGGAGACCUGUGGGGUGAUGCACUCGGCCUCCUGCUAUAAAUAAAGGGGGUGGCCUACGCCUUACCAACACUGACUGUCUACCUCAGAGCUGCUUUUAGUUUGGGUCUCCACUGUGUUUGUAAGGGGUUUCUGCUUGCUUUGGAUUCAGCGGAUGGAGAAUGCUGGAGGUGUCAGAGCAGCCCCUCCCCACGUGCAGGGAUAGAUAUGUGCAGAGAGGUGGAGGUCUCUCCUCCGGACACCCCAGGACAGGCUGUGCUCAUCCCCAUGGGGCUCAGACACCACCAGCCCCAUAAUGAUGCUGUCAAAGCUCCAGAAACCUCCAGCUCCCAUCUGGGCUGGAGUAACCGAAGAGUGACUCAUUGGACAAAAGCCAGGAUCAGGCUGUAGAGAUGCACAGUACCGUGUAAUCCCCUUAAGGAUAUUACAGCAAUGGGAGCUGCUGGUGCCAGAAUCAACAAAGAACGUUUUUUAGCUGGAGGUGCUAAAGUUGAAGGCUUUGAAGCCACACACACUUCAGGCUUUGUUCAACAUGAUGCACUAGGUUACCCGGGGGCCUCAAAGCACAGCCUGAGGGUGGCUGCAGCCCCACAGCAAUGGCAGCUCUCAGAGCAACACUGGGACAAGCACAGAAAAGCACCAACUGAAGAGCAAGAGCACGAGGAGAGAGCAUGAACCCAGAGCAAUACUCACACUGCCCAGGUUUCCACUGCUGGAGGGCCCUACUGCACGUUUGGGGUGACACGUGAGAGCUGCAGCCUGGUUUGACGGUGGCUUUCGGCUCUGCACAGAGCAGUGCACACUGCACAGCACACCGGGGCCAGUCCAGCAGAUGGCACUCGGAUCGCAUGGUGUUGGGGCUGCACAGCAUGGAGUUGCACAACUAGGGGUUUGUGGAAAGGGACAGGAUUGCACAAGGCUAGGAAUACUGGGAAGGGCAGGGCUGCACAGCUGAGGAUUUGUGGGAAGAAGCAGGGUUACGUGAGUCUGGGAAGCUUAGCAGAGGAUGGGGUGUGUGUGGGAUACCAGGUGCACCUUAACCCUUGAGACCCCAAAUCCCACAGUUUCCCAUGCAGCUCCACGUGCCGAGCUGCAUUUUCUCAGGCUAGGGGGGCGAGUGCUGGCAAAGGGGUGUAAUGGGGUCCGUGGGCACAGGGCGCUUCGAUGUGAGGUGCAGGCUGCAUGCAGCCAUGAGUGCUAGCAAAGGGCUGCAGUGAGAACUGGGCUGCCCAUGGGCGCUCAUUAGCGGCGGCUCGGCCUCCUUGUUAAUUAACCAUGGCCAAUUCCACUAAUUAGCUACGGCCAGAGUUGGCUGCCCUCCUCACAGAGGUGGGCGGGGAUCCUGCAGGCCAUGGGGGUAGCAGGGCUGGAGUGAGGGUAGUGGCAUGGGGCGGCAGCGGGGCACGGCUGCGUUACUUGUGCUGGGGCACCUGGCCGUGCUGCUGGCAUCGGGCACUGCCUGCGCCAACGUGUACCGAAGGGUCUCUGACUGCGUCCUGAAGCUGGGAGAGAGCAUGGCCACAUACGGGGAGGAGGACAGCAUGGAGCUGCAGGGGCUGCGCAGGGUCUGUGGGUACUGGGAUGAAUUUCACGUCUGUGCCCUGACUGCUCUCUGGGAGUGCCAGAAGGAAGCAGCAGCCAUCUGGGAGAUGCUGAGGAAGGAGUCCCGAAAGAUCAAAUUCCAAGGCAGCUUGUUUGACCUCUGCAGCCCCAGCGCAGCCCAAAGCUUUGCCUGGCCCUGCAUUCCCAAUGUGUCAGUUCUUAGCAUCCCCCUCAUCAUCACUUGGCUGAACUUAUAGACCUCAGCUCCACCUUUGAGGAACACAGGGUGCAGUACCAGCAGACUCUCAGCUCUGUCCCAUGUCUGUGAGACUCUGAAGAGUUCAGCAGCAUCUCGUGGGUUUCACUGUUUCUCUGUAAUUUGGGACAUUUGUCCCCUUUGGCCUCAGGGCACAAGCAGAGCUCUGGCUGCCUGCAGGGGAUCUGGGGGAAAAUGGGAAGUGAGUCAUGAAUACCAGAUUCUUUUUGGACCUUUCCACGGCUCUUGUAUGGAAGCCUGUUUGUUCAGCUGCCUGUUUCCACAAUGUCAGCUCUCCAGGUUUUUUAUUUGGGUGCUGAAAACUUGUGAGGUGCAGGGAUGGUGUAUGUCCUGCCAAGAUCAUAGAGGUACUGGUCUUCUUUCUAGGAGGACACACUGAAAACCCCACUAAAGAAUAGUCACAGGUGCAUGACCUCUUUCCUAACACACAUCCAGACUCCUGAGUAAUUCCUGUGUUAUGUGUAGAUCACUUUUCUAAGGAAAUGAAAAGGCAAAAAAAUCUUUGGGUGGGGGGGAGAUGAUGUCAAGCAACCAUGACAAAACCUUUCUAAGGUAACUCUUUUGCUUUGAUGUUUUUCCUAGUAGUACUUGUAAGCAGCCCUGUGGGUGACUGUGUGUAAUUUUGUAGUAUUAAAUUUAAAUUUUGUUGCAGAGAUUGAA